GACAAAUAGCUCACUUGGUAGAGCACGAGACUCUUAAUUUCAGGGUCGUGGGUUCAAGCCCCACGUUGGGCA
Podarcis lilfordi (Lilford's wall lizard) is the source of this 72-nucleotide non-coding RNA. Lineage: Eukaryota; Metazoa; Chordata; Lepidosauria; Squamata; Lacertidae. The record is from the annotation of a GenBank genome assembly.